CACGUAGUUAGCCGGGGCUUCUUCUGAAGGUACCGUCACUCCACAGAGCUAUUAACCCUGGAAGCUUCGUCCCAACUGAAAGGGGUUUACAACCCGAAGGCCUUCUUCCCCCACGCGGCGUUGCUGCGUCACGCUUUCGCGCAUUGCGCAAGAUUCCCCACUGCUGCCUCCCGUAGGAGUCUGGGCCGUGUCUCAGUCCCAGUGUGGCUGAUCGUCCUCUCAGACCAGCUACCCAUCGUCGCCUUGGUAGGCCGUUACCCCACCAACAAGCUAAUGGGCCGCGGGCCGUCCCGAUGCGAAGGCCGAAGCUAUCUUUUCUGAACUCCCUUACGAGAGUGCAGAACAUCCGGUAUUAGCCCGAGUUUCCUCGGGUUGUCCCGGUCAUCGGGUAGGUUACCCACGUGUUACUCACCCGUUCGCGGCUCUGCCACGGGCCGAAGCCCGCUUCGUCGCUCCACUUGCAUGUGUUAAGCACGCCGCCAGCGUGUCUCGUAGCGACGACGUCGAAACUACCUACGUCGUAGUACGUAGUCCGAA
RNAcentral lists this ribosomal RNA (537 nucleotides) under uncultured Solirubrobacter sp. RNAcentral's name for it is "partial 16S ribosomal RNA". Lineage: Bacteria; Bacillati; Actinomycetota; Thermoleophilia; Solirubrobacterales; Solirubrobacteraceae. The record is from RNAcentral.